GAUGAACGCUGGCGGCGUGCCUAAUACAUGCAAGUAGAACGCUGAAGGAAGGAGCUUGCUCUUUCCGGAUGAGUUGCGAACGGGUGAGUAACGCGUAGGUAACCUGCCUGGUAGCGGGGGAUAACUAUUGGAAACGAUAGCUAAUACCGCAUAACAGUAGAUGUUGCAUGAUAUCUACUUAAAAGGUGCAAUUGCACCACUACCAGAUGGACCUGCGUUGUAUUAGCUAGUUGGUGAGGUAACGGCUCACCAAGGCGACGAUACAUAGCCGACCUGAGAGGGUGAUCGGCCACACUGGGAGUGAGACACGGCCCAGACUCCUACGGGAGGCAGCAGUAGGGAAUCUUCGGCAAUGGACGGAAGUCUGACCGAGCAACGCCGCGUGAGUGAAGAAGGUUUUCGGAUCGUAAAGCUCUGUUGUAAGAGAAGAACGAGUGUGAGAGUGGAAAGUUCACACUGUGACGGUAUCUUACCAGAAAGGGACGGCUAACUACGUG
Molecule: ribosomal RNA, 497 nt
Filed under: uncultured bacterium
Lineage: Bacteria
Description: partial 16S ribosomal RNA
Rfam family: Bacterial small subunit ribosomal RNA
Source: RNAcentral